Molecule: ribosomal RNA, 465 nt
Filed under: uncultured bacterium
Lineage: Bacteria
Description: partial 16S ribosomal RNA
Rfam family: Bacterial small subunit ribosomal RNA
Source: RNAcentral
GACGAACGCUGGCGGCGUGCUUAACACAUGCAAGUCGAACGGAAAGGCCCCUUUGGGGGUACUCGAGUGGCGAACGGGUGAGUAACACGUGAGUAACCUGCCCUUGACUUCGGGAUAACUUCAGGAAACUGGGGCUAAUACCGGAUAGGAAUCCUUGCUGCAUGGUGGGGGUUGGAAAGCUUCGGCGGUUUUGGAUGGACUCGCGGCUUAUCAGCUUGUUGGUGGGGUAGUGGCUUACCAAGGCUUUGACGGGUAGCCGGCCUGAGAGGGCGACCGGCCACCUUGGGACUGAGAUACGGCCCAGACUGCUACGGGAGGCAGCAGUGGGGAAUAUUGCACAAUGGGCGGAAGCCUGAUGCAGCAACGCCGCGUGCGGGAUGACGGCCUUCGGGUUGAAGAACGCUUUCAGCAGGGGCGAAGCUUGUGGUGACGGUACCUGCAGAAGAAGCACCGGCUAACUACGUG